Long non-coding RNA from Pseudopipra pipra, 541 nucleotides. RefSeq lists it as uncharacterized. The transcript is spliced from 2 exons. Lineage: Eukaryota; Metazoa; Chordata; Aves; Passeriformes; Pipridae. The record is from RefSeq and is a predicted model, not a curated record.
UCUAGUAACCACAGUGGUAGUGUAUCAAGGGUUGGACUUGAUGAUCUCAGAGGUCUUUUCCAACCCAGUUGAUUCUAUGAUUCUAUGAGGGACUGAAAGUGUUCUGUCUCUAAGCAGCCAUUCAGCUGGAGAAGUAAGUUACAAGAACAGUCUGUGGUUAAGGUAUUAUGGUUAGACAACCUUUCUCCACUCUGCAAAAUUCUGCCCUCUGCAAGUAUUAGGCAGCAACUCAGGACCUGAUUGAAAACACAGUGAAGUUGCAAGAAUCAUUUUAACGAACUUCAGUAGCUUUUGGAUCAACCUGCAAAGAUGCUGUACAAAGUGCACAUCUCUACGGGCACAGGGUGUUGUGGCAAGAAAUACAUUCAAAGACAUCUGGGACUCAUAUGCCAGAAACAGUAAUGAAAUGUCUGGAGACUCUUCAAACUAAAGUCUGAUUAGACAAUAACCAGUGGGAAAAGACAGUAUAUUUGGACUUCUAGUGUCUGGAGAGUUCUAUGUUAAAGAAAGAAGAACAGAAAAUUAUAGCAUGAAAACCCCA